GUAUGGUGCAAGCGUUAUCCGGAUUUACUGGGUGUAAAGGGAGCGUAGACGGAGUGGCAAGUCUGAUGUGAAAACCCGGGGCUCAACCCCGGGACUGCAUUGGAAACUGUCAAUCUAGAGUACCGGAGAGGUAAGCGGAAUUCCUAGUGUAGCGGUGAAAUGCGUAGAUAUGACAUAGAACACCUAUUGCGAAGGCAGCUUACUACGCCUAUAUUGACGCUGAGGCACGAAAGCGUGGGGAUCAAACAGGAUUAGAUACCCUGGUAGUCCACGCCCUAAACGAUGAUUACUCGACGUGUGCGAUAAACGGUACGCGUCUGAGCGAAAGCAUUAAGUAAUCCACCUGGGAAGU
This 352-nucleotide ribosomal RNA is filed under the name uncultured bacterium. Its description in RNAcentral is "bacterial SSU rRNA". It matches the Rfam family "Bacterial small subunit ribosomal RNA", at positions 527 to 881 of the family's 1533-position model. The record is from RNAcentral.